This 255-nucleotide ribosomal RNA is filed under the name uncultured bacterium. RNAcentral describes it as "partial 16S ribosomal RNA". It matches the Rfam family "Bacterial small subunit ribosomal RNA", at positions 524 to 777 of the family's 1533-position model. The record is from RNAcentral.
GACGAACCGUGCGAACGUUGUUCGGAAUCACUGGGCUUAAAGGGCGCGUAGGCGGGCUCACAAGUCAGGGGUGAAAUCCCACGGCUCAACCGUGGAAGUGCCUUUGAUACUGUGGGUCUUGAGGGAGGUAGGGGCGUGCGGAACUUCCGGUGGAGCGGUGAAAUGCGUAGAUAGUCGGAAGGAACACCGGUGGCGAAAGCGGCGCGCUGGACCUCUACUGACGCUGAGGCGCGAAAGCCAGGGGAGCAAAGCGGG